RNAcentral lists this transfer RNA (59 nucleotides) under Koenigia forrestii. RNAcentral describes it as "partial tRNA-Phe". Lineage: Eukaryota; Viridiplantae; Streptophyta; Magnoliopsida; Caryophyllales; Polygonaceae. The record is from RNAcentral.
GGCAAGGCAUAGGCAGUGGUCGGGAUAGCUCAGUUGGUAGAGCAGAGGACUGAAAUCUC